This 1129-nucleotide long non-coding RNA is filed under the name Meleagris gallopavo (turkey). Its description in RNAcentral is "lncRNA (ENSMGAG00000018374.1)". Lineage: Eukaryota; Metazoa; Chordata; Aves; Galliformes; Phasianidae. The record is from RNAcentral.
UUAUGCAAAAUGAAAAGAGUUGGAGGCAAAGACCAGCAACGGGAGAGUUGUAAUUCAGCUUUCUUUGUUAAAAAACAAAGACAAAACAAAACAACAACAACAAAAAAACAAAACAGACAACCCAAAACAGAAAACAACCCGAACACGGAACAGGUUUGUUAACCACCGACAUAAAAGAAUCAAGAAAUACUAGAAAAAAUACAUGGUGGGAGACAUUUUGUUUUACAAGGCAGUUUGAUGGCGUUCCCAUUGGCGGAGCAGUUCGGCCAGCCACUGAACUGCUGUGCCAAUGGGACACAGACACUGUAAAUAGCAUCGACUGUAGAAGUAUUAAGACUUAAAAGAUAUUUACCCCUUAAAAAUAAAUAGAACGUCAUCUACAGCAACAUUUAAAUUAGUAAUUUUUUUUUUCUUUUCUUUUGCAAAGCAACCAAAUGCAACAAAAAGGUAAAACACGGUGUAGAUUUUCUGGAGGUCGAGAUAAUUCUUUCCUGCUUAAAAAUAAAGGACAAAAAUAUGAACUUCAGAAGACAAGUUGCUCGGAAAAGUCAGCUCAUUCUCCAGCAGUGACUCUCACCAUUGUUCCAUGGGUCAGCACCGGGUCCACGUCCCACCACAAUCCCUCUCUGCAGGGCUCUGGGAGGUGCUGACUCUCAGCACAGCUCCCAGGCUGCCCUUCCCCAGCUGCAGAGCGGCUUCAGCAGCUUCCAAAGGCAAAAGCCCAGCAGGGUCUGGCCGUGCUGUGCCUUCCCUUUGGAUGUCUUUGGGAACGAGGCUGUGCACAAGCUGCUGUCCCACCCAGACAGCCAGCGUGUUGUGUAAGGACAACACAAGCUGUUUGCUUCCUUUUGGAUUGUUAUUAAAGCCUCAGAGCACUGUGGCCAUGGCUAAAGGCACAGGCAGCAGCAGACAGAGGAAACCUUCCUGCAGGGCCAGCAGCACCGUACAGCUCUCCCCAUGGUGCUCAGCACACAGAACAAAGCCACUCUGCACCAGCUUCCACCCAACGGGUCUUGAAAGUUUGUGCAAGCAAUGGAGCCCCUUUGAACUCAGUUGUGCACUGAUGGGACUGCUGGAACACAAUGGUUUGUUUACCAGAGCAAGUUCAUGCUCAGGAAGAGGAACCUGA